CAUGAUUGUGUGUUGGCCUAUCAGUUGAUGGGCACUUAGGUUGAUUCUAUGUCUUUGCAAUUGUGAAUUGUGCUGUAAUAAACAUAUGCAUGCAAGUGUUUUUUUGAUUUAGUGACUGUUUUUGGGAGGUAGAUACCCAGUAGUGGAAUUUCUGGGUAGAAUGGUAGAUCUACUUUUAGUUCUUUGACAAAUAUCCACAUCUUUUUCCACAGAGGUUGUGCUAAUUUACAAUCCCACCAGCUGCGUAUAAGCGUUCCAUUUUCACUACAUCCACACCAACAUCUAUUGCUUUUUGACUUUUAAAAAAUAGCCGUUCUGACUAGGAUAAAGUGGUGCCUCAUUGUGGUUCUAAUUUGUAUUUCCCUGAUUAGUGAUGUUGAGCAUUUUUUCAUCUGUCUGGUGGCUUUCUGUGUGUCUUAUUUUGAGAAAUGUGUAUUCAUUCAACUCAAGGAUUUUAUCCUUGCUUUUGUUUCUUCCUGGAAUGUUCUUACUUCACUUACCUGGGUCUCUCCUCUCAUUCAGGUCUCAAUGCCAAGGUCUUCCCUGAGGACCUGAUCUAGUUUCUCUUUCCCUAUUGAGAUGGAGCAGGAGCCCCCUUUAUUAGGGGCCUGCAGACCCCAAACAUGGAAAUCAAGGAGAAUCAUGAUUGCCUUCAAGGGAAGUUCCAGGCACCUAGCUAGCUCCAGAAGUCAAUAAGUAACUUAUUAAAAAAGAAGGCAAUAGUAGCCUAAAGGACACCUGAGGAAAUUAGAGUCCUAGGGAUGUUUGUUUUUCCUAAAGAAUCCAAGGAGAACAUCUUAACCUGUACUUCUGAGUUGUCUUUCAGAAACUCAGACCCCCACUGGGGACCCACACUGAAGGGAUCAGCCAAUAUGCAGACCUCAGAUACGCUCAGCGUGUUCCAAGACGCAGGCCCCACCCCCGGAGGUGAAUGUGUGGAGAUAACCAGUUACCACGGGGCUCUCUAGAAGGGGUCCAGCACACAGGCAGUUGGCAGAACCCGGGAAGUACCAGCUAUUGAAAUGAACUCAAACUGCCUUAUCUAAAGACUGUGAAAAAAGAAAUGGUUCGGGUACAAAGCUUACUGCCAAGGAGUGCUCUGCCACCUCUGCCUGACAGGGACAGAAGGGAUCUUGUUGGCAACACAUUCCCAGGGUUGGAAGGGCCCCUGCGGAGCUUCAUGGCACAGGCAGAACAGAUGCUGAGAUCACUCAUGUGGAUGAGAGACCUGGCUGCCCACUCACACCACCUGGCGAGCUUGAGAUCAGCAUCUAAAACGCCCCAGGAGAACUGGGCACUGGUUCUGACAAGUUAAGAAGGCAAAAGUCUGCUGCUCUGGGGUGACGGGUGUAACUGGAGUGAGUGUUGUGAACAAACAGAGAUAACGAAUUUUUCAAACAUUUUUUACCAUAGUCAGAUUUAAUCUCCUAUCUCUAAGUCUAUGGUCUUUCUUCUUCCCUCUAAAAUGUGUUAUUUCAUGGGGAGUUUUCUGAGAUACAGGCCAAGGGCAAAUUCUGGUACAGCUCAUCCACUCUGCCUCUCCACUGCUCUAGGAGCAGGCAGGAUUUGGUAGAGGUUGGGGAUGAAUCCCAGAGCUCAGCCCUGAGAGUCUGCACCCUGCAGACACAUCCUGGGGAGGUCACCACCCUGACCCUCUCUCUGGGUGGAGCAAACAGGCCAAGGAGACAAUGGUUCCAAAGGCGUUAGGACACAGCAGCCACGGGGGACUAGGCCUAGGAGCUCAGCAGCAGGGGACAGGGAAGGGCCAUGAGUCUUUUGCUUUGGGAAAUAGUUAGGUCUGAGACUUUUGGUGAUGGGCACAGGCAGCCUAUGCAAUCUUGUGCUGGAAGAGGUGCUUCUAAUCACAAAAAGGGCAAUAAGAUAGUUGCUUUUUGCCUGGGGAGGACAGGUGACAAGGUGAAGGUCACAUGCAAGGUCGUGGCAUUUUCCCAUAUGUGGGGAUGCUGAAUGCCAACAUCUCUAUUUCCCACCUUUCUACAUCCAGAUAAAUAAUGAAGCAUUUUCUGUAUGGAGGGCAGAGCCUGGUCUAUGCAGCUCUUUCUAUCAGGCAUGGAGACUUGCAGGCCCCUGGCUGAUCUUCUCCACCCAGCCAGUUGUUCCUGGAUUCAGUCAGGGCAGGCCUAGACUCCCCUUUCUGCUGGGUUGUGAGAACUGCAGUCUUUAGCAUGUGAGUCUUCGCAGGAGCAAAGGCAUGGGCCAAGGGUUUAAUAUUAUCACUUAAAACCAGAGGUGAAACUGGGUUGGGGCUAAGUCAGAACGAACAAAAAAGGAGCUACUCUUAAGACUUGCAGAGAAAUAGUGACAAUGACUCAUUUUAAACUAGAACCCAAUGUGGUAAUGAGCUCACAUUUGAGCAUUCGACAGUGCCUAUACAUUCUCCAAUGCAGGUGUCAUUAAGGGAGAUGUGUCUGGCAGCAGCAAGAGUAGUUUUAAUUGAGAAGUGGUUUCACACAGAUAUAUAGGGAUGGAAAUGGAUAUAUCUACAUACAUUUAGAUAUAUAGACAUCUAUGCAUAGAUCUGGAUCUAUAUCCAUGUAUCGACAGAUUCUGUACUAUUCACUCCUUUCUUCCUUCGCUUCACAGUCAUGGUUGAGUCUAAAAGAUAUUAAGACCAUCAGUUGAAAAGUAAAGCUCAUUUUAAACUAGUUAUUCAACUUUAUGUACUCCAUGUACCUACAGUCAGAGUAUUUUUUAAUUUCUGAUUUUACUCAGCAACUCAAAGGGAGCCUCUUCUUUCCUUCUUGUUUGUCUUUCUUCACCCCUUAAGUACAGGACCUUCAUUGGUCCCACUGGAAAUGACCCUGACCCCAGCCUUGGUUUGUGACUGACUGAAAUUCCUGUGGCCUUCUCAAAGCUGAGGUCUUCCAUUUGCACUGAUUCAUGGAUACUCAUGGCAUUGUGAGUCUUUCGCGAAUCUGCCAGGAUACAUCAUGUUAUCGGGUGCAGGUGUGUGUAAAGAUCUGACCCCUGAACACAUCUUUUGUGAACUAACAGAGAAACAGAUGCUAGUGGAUGUGUGUGUGUCAUCCACACCUAGGGAGACAACAGGGCUUCCAAACCCCUAGAGCUGAUCCCUGGCAGGGCUCAAACUGCAGGGGAGAUGCUGUGGGGGUCUGUGGUUACUUUUGUGCUGAAGACCUUCUUCUUCAGUGGUGCCUCUUCAUUUGCAAUUGUAAUUAUUUCUCUGGAAACUAGGAACCUAGGUUUUUGUGAAGUGAUAAAACUAAUUAGCCACAACAAAUCCUGUCUGUGCUUAGUUUGCUCAGGACUACACAGUGUAUAUUAGUUUGCCUUUUGGUAGGAGCCUCUUUGCUGUGGCAUGACAGUGCUGCAGUCCCCUGGGGCUGCUUCAACCCCCACCAGAAAGGAAAAUGAGAGAAACAAUGCAUUCGAGGCACAAGCCUGCUACAAAUCACCCAUUAAUUACACACAGAGCUGUGCGCCAGCCAAAGGGCUUUGUCGGGCUUGCACCUUGAAGCCAAUAGCAGAAUUCUAGGUGCUGCAAUUGGGAAUAAGGAGCUGUGCUCGACAUACAUGACCAUUGGGCACAGUCUAGGGCAAGGAGGAAUAAUUCAAGGCCACGCCAAAACCCAGGAGGAAGAACAUGGCCACACAACCCAUCUGCUUUGACCAGUCUUGCCUUCACGUGAGGUCAUUGGAAAGAAACCACCUGCACAGGUGUAAACUCCUGGGUGCUUUUGCCUAAGGCAGUUUCCAGGGGCAAGAGAAAUGCAACAAGAAUAAAGGUGACUCAUAAAAUGGAUCCUGCCAUGUAAAUUCGAAGCAGAAAGUGUAUUUUAAUUAGACUUGGUUGCUGCUUUCACCCGAUUUCCAAGUAUUAAAUUUUCUCUUUCAUUUCCUGCGUGAGUAAUCCUGGCCCUGAUUAAUUGAAAACACUAGGUCCUUGCUACUCCCACACAUUCCCCAUGGAGGGGACUGCGCUUCCGUGACAAAUGGUCAUGGAAUGUGCUCCAUUAUCAUUCCUUGACAUAGCAAAUAAAGAGGGGAAAUCAUUUAUUCCCAGCAUUGGCAAGCAGCCUUCGGGGACUGCACUGGCCAGCUCUGACACCCACUGAAUGAUGGUGGCGGCACUGAUUUGCGUUACCCGCAGACAGAACCCGUGCCCUCUCACUCCAUUAGCCAAGUCAGAAACAUCAAGCUUUUACGGAAUCCAUUCCAGCUGAAACAACAGUCUCCUUUAUCAUUGUAAUAAACACACCCAGGGACAGAGGAUAGCUGCUCAGGAAUUUCUGGUUGGAGCCCCCUGGGUGAAGUUGAGGAAGGAAGACCUGCCCACAGCCCCAGUUCCCUGGAAGUCUGUGAAUAGCAAGAAAUGGGGCAGGCUGGGCUGUGCUUGCUGUCAUCUCUGGGUGGGGGGAGAUGGAGGCCUGGGCAGGAGUCCUAAGAAUGCUGGGUGUCCAUGGCUGCCUAGUCGCUGGGGUCUCUCCAGCAGAGGACGGUGUGGCUGUGCACCUUGUCCAAUGCCAGGAAGCCAGCAGCCGGGGGUGGAACUCGGUAUUCUGCAGGGAUGUUGUGACUGACACAGUAAUUAUGGGUUUUUGCAUUGUUUAUGCCUCUCUGGGAGCAGAGCCAAAUGCUAUGAGCCGGUGGCUGCAAGGCACUCAGUAGAUUUCAUGACAGAGUAUCAUUGUAUUUACUCUUUCAGGCCUCCCGGACUAUUGGCGCCUCAUGAAGCUUUAACACUAUUUGCUGUUCUCAUAAUUAAAUCACUGACUAAAUAAAAAAAAAAAACAAUAAAAGAAAUACCAAAUCAUUCUAAACAGUGAUCCAACAUGGCUUGGGUGCAUUCACAUAAAAGCAACUUUCUGUCAUUUUACAUUUUUUUCUGCUCUGAUCUGGGCUAUGUGGGUGCUUUGAUGCUGGGCUGGAAUCAGGCAGCUGUGUCCUGCCCUGUCCGCCUGGCCUGCAGCUGAGGGCUGGAGCCCCCUGCACUGCCCCUCCCCACCCCCUGCAGACCCCAGGAGGAGGGAGGGAGCAAACUUUGCCAGUACCCAGGGUGGAAAAACUCUCUCUGCUGUAAACUAAAAAUAAAAUCCUAAGCCUCAUCAACUAAACAGACAUGCCUUGUGGUGAAGGGGACCCAGAGAAGUUGAGUUCCUGCCAUGACAGGAUGGGCGGUCAGACAUGCCUCUUUAUACCCCUCUCCUUUCUGGUUCAGACACAGCAAGUGACCAGCGUUCAUGUUAAAAUAGAGAUCGUAAGACUGGCAGAAUGGACUUUUGUGGCAAUAGAUACCAAAUUGUAACCUGGACCUAAGAUCCUGCCCCACACUCCCACACUUAAAGGAGAAACUGUGCUCUGUCACAGGUGUUUCUUUUCAAAACUCCAGCAGCUGAGCAAGCACUGGCCUGGAGAUAAGCAAUGUUAAAACAGUUACAAGUUACCCAGCUCACAGACGCAGGCUAACUGACCCCUGUCCCACCAGCCAUAACUGCAGCCUGUACUAGAUAAGAGGCUGAUUUCAGUAACUUUCUCCCGAUCAGAGACUGCUGACCAUGGACUAGUUCUGGCUGGUUUUUGGAAGUUCUACAGUCAUGUGCCUUGUGUUCUGAAAAGGCCUUUGGAUGGGCUAAUACAGUUAAAUGUUGUCUCAUCCCCAAAGUGAAUAUGCAUCAUAUAUAGUCACAUGCAUAUAUCAGGACCACCUUCAUGAAUAUUCAUGGAUUCUCCUGCAAUCUGUUGAAUAUGUAUGUUUGGCCAACCUGCUCAGCAUAGAGCUCCUGUCCCAAACCCCUUCUCUUUCAGAGUGCCUGUCUCUGGUCUUGGCCAAAGGCUAUGCUUCCCAGCCUGCGGACAGCCACCUUGUAGGCUGUACCCUUUUAUAAGAAAGCCUCCUUUUCUAAUUUAUACAUCUUGUGAUUUUUAAGUUAACACUGCUCAACUCUGAGCUGUUGGGAGAAUAGGAGGUACCCUUGUCUAUUUUCAGCCCACAAACAUUUUUCCUCCUCUAGAUGCAUUUGCUCAGAACUGGAUCAAAAUUGUGUGUGUGUAUGUGUGUGUGUAUUUGUAUAUAUUUGUGUGUGGUGUGUGUGCACAUGCAUGUAGAUAUUUUCCUCUUCAAUUUCACAAAGUACACACGUAUACUGAAAUAAACUCCUUCUGGAUCUGCUGAGUGUGAAAUUGAUGAGACUCCAGCCUGUCUCACUCUCACUUUCCCCCAGGAGUGCCUGCUCUGCGGGUGCCUGGGCUGAAGCAGGAUGGGCUCUGGGUGACUCCUCUACUGGGGAGGUGGGUAGGGGAAAGCUGGCCAGGCUUGCUGCGUGCUGGGGUCCAGGCAGACAGAGCUCCCCUGGGAAGUUUUCUUCAGGCAGGAAAACUCACCCUGUGGGGCCUUCACCUCCCUUUAGCCUAAAACAUAUAGAUAUUAAAUUUUCACUUAUUUUUAUUUGUGGAGUACAUGUGUAAUUAUGUGCAUAGACUUCAUAGUGGUCAAGUCAGGGCUUUUAGGGUAUCUGUUACCUGAAUAACAUACAUUGUACCCAUUAACUGAUUUUUCAUCAUCCUUACCCCUCCCACCUGGCACCCUUCCCAGUCCCCUUCUCUCUCAUUCCAUUCUCUAUGUCCACAUGAACACAUUUAUCAUCCACUUAUGAGUGAGAACAUGCGAUAUUUGUCUUUCUGUGAAAUAAUUUUAACAUGGAAGCAAUGUCUUUUGUUUUACCGUUAAGGCUAGGACGUUAUUGCAGAUUCCCCCAGUGUCUUAAAUUUACACCACAGAGUAAAUGACCCAUUAGAACCUCUCCUGAAAAAGCCUUUGAUUGUAGUAGAAGCAAUGAUGAUGAUGAUAAUGAUGACGACGAUGAUGGCGAUGAUGAUGUUGACGAUGAUGAUGAUGAUGAUGACGAUGAUGAUGAUGAUGAUGAUGACAAUGAUGAUCGUCGCAAAUGCUUCCAUAGCUCUAGCUGUGUGCUGGGCGCUGUUCUAAGUGUGUAAAUAAAAGUGGUGUAUAUAAGAGUUAAUUCACAAAAUACACUAAUGCCUUGUGGUCAUUAAAGCCCAGAGAGGUCAGUAGCAGUACCAAGACUUGAAUUUGCAUAUGUCUUUAACCUCUAUACAAUGCAAGGCAUAAAUCCGCCUGAUAGCUAGAAUCAGGCUUGGGGUUGUCGGUGCGGGGGAGUUUCCCAACAAACUCUUCAGAUCCUCAGGUUGGUGGAAGUUGGAUUCUGUGGAAAUGGUGGCGGAAGCAGCAGGAGAUGGGGUGAUGUGGCUGCUUAUUACUGGCAAUAUUUAGGCCAGAAUUAGCAGUAAUUUUUUCUUCAAUUAGCAAAUAUUGGACACUUAGAAAACUGUCUUAGAAAAUCAUGUGUUAAAAUCAAAUAUUUUAAUCCAGCUCUUUUAACAGAUUACAUGGCAAAGAUAAUUAGGCUGCUGGGAACAGGAUAUAGUGUUUAAUUAAUGCAUUAAUUUUGAAAGCGAAAUUCGAUUGUUAAAGAAAAUACAAUAAAGGAUUGAAACAUGAAAUUAGCAUAGGAGCAUUACCCAUUUCUUCAAGCAGCUUACUGGGCAUGAUCUUUUUCCUGCUGUUUCCCGGGGGAGGUUAAGUAGGAAAGUAGGGUCAUUUGUGUCUUGCAGGAGAAUGAAACUCUGCCAUCCUGUUUGUGGGGGUGGAGGUGGAGACAUUAAAAAGACCCAGCCUUUAUACUGUGCCCCCAAAUGCAAACCCACAUGAACUAUCUGGCAGGUUCCUAGGUGCUAAGUGCACUUCCUGGUCUUUCAUGUCACUAGAAGAGACAUGGGGCUCGACUUACAGAGAUGACAACACACUUGCUUAAAGCCUGAAGGGUAUCACUGCCCCUGCCUGCAGCAAAACGUCAGCCCCGGCCCAGUUCCUCUCUCAUCACCACUCCUGCCCCUUUCUUUUUCUUUUUAAUUGACACAUAAUCAUUGUACACAAUUAUGGGGUUAAAUAUUAUGUUUCAGGGCAUACAUAUGUUGUGCAAUGAUCAAAUUUAAUGAGAUAUCUGGAGCAAUAUUACUAGAAGAAGGAUGAGGUUGUUUUAGGAUACAAAAUCAAUGUACACAAAUUCAUAUGGAACACAAAAAGAGCCCUCAUAGCCAAAGCAAGACUAAGUAAAAACAACACAUCUGGAGGCAUCACAUUACCUGAUUUCAAACUAUACUACAAGGCUAUAGUGACCAAAACAGCAUGGCAUUGGUAUAAAAACAGCCACACAGACCAAUGGAACAGAAUAGAGAACCCAGAAAUAAAGUCAAAUACUUACAGACAACUGAUCUUCCAUAAAGCAAACAAAAACAAAGUGGGGAAAAGAUGCCCUAUUCAACAAGUGGAGCUGCGAUAAUAGGUAAGCCACAUGUAGAAGAAUAAAACUGGAUCCUCAUCUCUCACCUUAUACAAAAAUCAACUCAAGAUGGAUCAAAGACUUAAACCUAAGGUGUGGAACCAUAAAAAUUCUAGAAGAUAACAUCAGAUAAUCUCUCCUAAACAUUGGCUUAUAACCAAGAACCGAAAAGCAAAGGCAACAUAAACAAAAAUAGAUAAAUGGGACCUAAUCAAACCAAAAAGCUUCUGCACAGCAAAACAAAUAAUCAGCAGAGUAAAUGGACAACCCACAGAGGGGGAGAAAAUAUUUGCAAACUAUGCUUUUGACAAAGGACUAAUAUCCAGAAUCUACAAGGUACUCAAACAGAUCAGCAAGAAAAAGACAAAUAAUCCCAUCAAAAAGUGAACAAAGGAAAUAAAUAAACCAUUCUCAAAAGAAUACAUGAAAACAGCCAACAAACAUAUAGAAAAUGCUCAACAUCACUAAUUAUCAGGGAAAUGCAAAUUAACAUCACAAUGAGAUACCCUUUACUCCAGCUACAAUGGCCAUAAUUAAAAAAUCAAAAACAAUAAAUAGUGUCAAAGAUGUGGUGAAUAGAGAAGGCUUUUACACUGCUGGUGGGAAUUUAUACUAAUACAACCACUUGUUCUAGCCCAUUACCUGUCAUCCUCCACCCUCUUCUUCCCUUCCACCCUCCAACCUUUUCUUCCCCAUUCACCCCUCACCUCCUCCAUUUUUCUAGCCUCUUCUUCCCCUCCAACCUGCUUCCCCUCCACCAUCCUUCCCUUCCACCCUCCUUCCCCUCCACCUCUUUCCCCUCCACCCUUCUUCCCCUCCACUAUCCUUCCCCUCCUUUCUCUCCACCAUCCUUCCCUUCCACCCUCCUUCCCCUCCAGCUCCUUCCCCUGCACCCUUCUUCCCCUCUACCUUUCUUUCUCCCUUCCCUCCCAUCCUCUUUCCCCUCCAUCCUUCUUCCCCUCCACCCUCCUUCUCCUUCUUCCCCUCUACCCAUCUUCCACUCCUUC
This 9349-nucleotide long non-coding RNA is filed under the name Homo sapiens (human). Its description in RNAcentral is "HSALNT0257887". Lineage: Eukaryota; Metazoa; Chordata; Mammalia; Primates; Hominidae. The record is from RNAcentral.